This 2549-nucleotide small RNA is filed under the name Pongo abelii (Sumatran orangutan). RNAcentral's name for it is "processed transcript". Lineage: Eukaryota; Metazoa; Chordata; Mammalia; Primates; Hominidae. The record is from RNAcentral.
GUGUUUAACUGGAAACUAGAACGAGAUGGAAGGGGAUGUUCAAGGCCCCUCCCUUGACUCUGAACGGACCCCCAGGGAACAUGCGAUCCUCUCUCUGGCGACGCCUCCCACCCACCACUAAUACUUGCUCCUGGACCGGAGGCGCGGAGGUUGGAGAGAGGAGGCAGGUGUCUGCAUGCUACCUGGGUCUCGGACAGGCGGCACUGGGACCACGAGGCAGGGCGCCAGGCUUGAAGCAGGUGACAUGUAGACGUCCCCUGGUCCAGCCUCGGAACCUGAGCGCCCUUCUGCCUGGAAAGUUUGUGGCUAGGCGCCAUGGCCAAGAGCAGCUCCCUGAAUGUUCGCGUGGUGGAGGGCCGCGCGCUGCCUGCCAAGGACGUGUCUGGGAGCAGCGACCCGUACUGCCUAGUGAAAGUGGACGACGAGGUGGUGGCCAGGACAGCUACUGUCUGGAGGAGCCUGGGCCCCUUCUGGGGGGAGGAGUACACGGUGCACCUGCCUCUGGAUUUCCACCAGCUGGCCUUCUACGUGCUGGAUGAGGACACCGUCGGGCACGACGACAUCAUCGGCAAGAUCUCUCUGAGCAGGGAGGCAAUUACAGCCGACCCCCGAGGGAUUGACAGCUGGAUUAACCUGAGCCGUGUGGACCCAGAUGCAGAAGUGCAGGGUGAGAUCUGCCUGUCAGUGCAGAUGCUGGAGGAUCGGCGGGGCCGCUGCCUUCGCUGCCAUGUGCUUCAGGCCAGGGACCUGGCUCCCAGAGACAUCUCUGGCACAUCUGACCCAUUUGCACGUGUGUUUUGGGGCAGCCAGAGCUUGGAGACCUCAACCAUCAAGAAGACUCGCUUCCCACACUGGGAUGAAGUGCUGGAGCUGCAGGAGAUGCCAGGUGCCCCGUCCCCACUGCGGGUGGAGCUCUGGGACUGGGACAUGGUGGGCAAGAACGACUUCUUGGGCAUGGUGGAGUUCUCUCCGAAGACCCUCCAGCAGAAGCCACCUAAUGGCUGGUUCCGCCUCCUGCCCUUUCCCAGAGCUGAGGAGGAUUCUGGGGGGAACCUGGGUGCCCUGCGAGUGAAGGUACGCCUGAUUGAGGACCGCGUCCUGCCCUCCCAGUGCUACCAGCCUCUCAUGGAGCUGCUCAUGGAGUCUGUGCAGGGGCCAGCAGAGGAGGACACUGCUAGCCCCUUGGCUUUGCUGGAAGAGCUGACCUUGGGGGACUGCCGCCAGGACCUUGCCACCAAGCUGGUGAAACUCUUUCUUGGCCGGGGACUGGCUGGGCGCUUUCUGGACUAUCUCACCCGGCGUGAGGUGGCUCGGACCAUGGACCCCAACACCCUCUUCCGUUCUAACUCCCUGGCAUCCAAGUCGAUGGAACAGUUUAUGAAGCUCGUGGGCAUGCCCUACCUGCACGAGGUCCUGAAGCCUGUGAUUAGCCGCGUCUUUGAGGAGAAGAAGUACAUGGAGCUGGAUCCCUGCAAGAUGGACCUGGGCCGCACCCGGAGGAUCUCCUUCAAAGGCGCGCUCUCAGAGGAGCAGAUGCGGGAGACCAGCCUGGGGCUGCUGACGGGCUACCUGGGGCCCAUCGUGGACGCCAUCGUGGGCUCCGUGGGGCGCUGCCCGCCCGCUAUGCGCCUCGCCUUCAAGCAGCUGCACCGGCGCGUGGAGGAGCGCUUCCCCCAGGCAGAGCACCAGGAUGUGAAGUACCUGGCCAUCAGCGGAUUUCUCUUCUUGCGAUUCUUUGCGCCUGCCAUCCUUACCCCAAAGCUGUUUGACCUUCGGGACCAACACGCGGACCCCCAGACUAGCCGCUCACUGCUGUUGCUUGCCAAGGCUGUGCAGAGCAUCGGAAACCUGGGCCAGCAGCUGGGCCAAGGCAAGGAACUGUGGAUGGCCCCCCUGCACCCCUUCCUGCUGCAGAGCAUCUCUCGUGUGAGAGACUUCCUGGACCGGCUGGUGGAUGUGGAUGGGGAUGAAGAAGCUGGUGUCCCAGCCAGGGCCCUGUUCCCGCCCUCGGCCAUCGUUCGAGAAGGCUAUCUGCUGAAGCGCAAGGAGGAGCCUGCCGGCCUGGCCACGCGCUUUGCCUUCAAGAAGCGCUACGUCUGGCUCAGCGGGGAGACCCUCUCCUUCUCCAAGAGUCCUGAGUGGCAGAUGCGCCACUCCAUCCCCGUGUCGCACAUCCGCGCCGUGGAGCGCGUAGACGAGGGCGCCUUCCAACUGCCCCACGUGAUGCAGGUGGUGACGCAGGACGGCACGGGGGCGCUGCACACCACCUACCUCCAGUGCAAGGUGAGACCCCGCCGCGAUGGGGAGCGGGGGGCGUCCCUCUGUUCCCACCCGCCCCUGAUCGCCUCCCACCCGCUGCAGAAUGUGAAUGAGCUCAACCAGUGGCUCUCGGCCUUGCGCAAGGCCAGCGCCCCCAACCCGGACAAGCUGGCCGCCUGCCACCCCGGUGCCUUCCGCAGCGCGCGCUGGACCUGCUGCCUCCAGGCUGAGCGCUCAGUGCCAAGAUGAGACUUUUGAGAUUCCAGUGAAUGCCUCAGACCCAGCCUCAG